This is a long non-coding RNA of Rosa chinensis, 1470 nucleotides long. RefSeq lists it as uncharacterized. The record is from RefSeq and is a predicted model, not a curated record. The transcript has 4 exons. Lineage: Eukaryota; Viridiplantae; Streptophyta; Magnoliopsida; Rosales; Rosaceae.
GCAAAUGUGUAAUGCUUUGUUUGAGCGGGUGAAUCCCUGAAACCCCAAAAUCAUCGAACCCGGCACUCCUUCCUUUCUCAUCCCCAAAUUCACAGCUUCAAUCUUCCUUCUCUCUCUAUUGUGGUGGUCAUCAUGGACUCAAACUUGGACUCUCCAUUCACAGACAGGGGGACUGCAUUUUCCAAGCCUUCAAAAGAUAAAGUUAAAAGGAAUUAUCGGCGUCGUUCUCCUGUUAGUGGGUCAUCUUCAUCUGAUGGGUUUUUGAGUUGUCUUUGCAAGUUUGGUCUUGCAAUUUUUUGUUUGUUUUCAGGGAGUCCUGACUCCUGAGCAUAAUAACAGCUCUAGCCCAAAACUUGCAAUGGGAGAUCCUGGAAAAGAAUGGAGGCAUGAAGCCAAGUUUAUCCAAAAUAUUGUGGAAGAGAUCUCAAUUCAAGUAUCAAAUCGGACAUACUUGAAAGUUGCUAAGUAUCCUGUAGGACUGGAAUCUCGUGUCCGGGAUAUGCAUGAGCAGCUUCUAUGUGUUAGAUGAAAAUGAUGUUCGCAUGGUGGGAAUAUGGGGAAUUGGAGGAAUUGGUAAGACAAGACUUCUGGAUGACGACGAUGGCGAACUUGGGGAUCUAAUUGAGCUGAUUUGCCUUUCAUGGGACGGAGAUGCUUCUAUCAGACCAUCCUUUGCCACCAUCACAUGCAGUCUGUCUGAAGAAGGAUGAAAACUCAAGUCCAAUUUGGUCUAAGCUUUUGAUAGAAAACUCUCUCCUCUGCCUUCUCUCCUUUGCCGUUUUGAGAGUUGGCAAGUCUCCGGUUUCUCCACCCUCUGUGGUGCGCCUCCACCCUUUUGUGGUGAGUUUCCUGAGCUUGGUCUCAGCUUUAGAUCUGUUUAUGUCUCUUUCUCUUUCUAUCUUUCAUUGUUCUUGCCCAAUUGUUCAUCAAAUUUCCAGAUCUACUAUCAAAUCUCACAUUCUCCUCCAUCUCAAACACAUCACCCUCUCAUCUUCAUCCGAAUUUUCUCUCUUUCCACAACCUCUUCACUUUCAACCCUUGGUGUAUCGACAGAGACCUGUUCACUUAACUUCACACAUGAAGAUUGCAGCAGUACCGGCAAACCACCGAAGAUUGUGGACCUCACCGGACCAGUUCUUUGUUUUGUUCUUGUUGUUCUUCUUGAGCUUGCAAUUUAGGUGUGGAGAAUGAUGGUGGAGAGUUUACUUGGCCUCUGGAUGUCAAGAUUCUGUCAGAUCAGUUGGUCGCAGUAUCACCAUGGCGGCCAGCCUCUGCGUUGAAGUGAAGGGUUUGGUGUUAGGUCUUGGUUUUUUUUAUAUUUUGGACUUUUGGGCUUCGGUUUUAGUUUUAGGUAUGCAUUGUCUAUUGGGUUUUUAGGCCUAGGACUCCCAUUUUCUCUGUAUUACUUUUGUAAUAUGUGCUUUAUUUAAUGAAAGUUCUAUUUGACCAAAAAAAAAAAAAGGCCUAAAA